GACGAACGCUGGCGGCGUGCUUAACACAUGCAAGUCGAACGGAAAGGCCCUGCUUGCCGGGUACUCGAGUGGCGAACGGGUGAGUAACACGUGGGUGAUCUGCCCUGCACUUCGGGAUAAGCCUGGGAAACUGGGUCUAAUACCGGAUAGGAGCCAUUUUUAGUGUGAUGGUUGGAAAGUUUUUUCGGUGUAGGAUGAGCUCGCGGCCUAUCAGCUUGUUGGUGGGGUAAUGGCCUACCAAGGCGGCGACGGGUAGCCGGACUGGGAGGGUGGACGGCCACAUUGGGACUGAGAUACGGCCCAGACUCCUACGGGAGGCAGCAGUGGGGAAUAUUGCACAAUGGGCGCAAGCCUGAUGCAGAGACGCCGCGUGGGGGAUGACGGCCUUCGGGUUGUAAAAUCCUUUCGCUAGGGACGAAGCUUUUUGUGACGGUACCUAGAGAAGAAGCACCGGCUAACUACGUG
RNAcentral lists this ribosomal RNA (465 nucleotides) under uncultured bacterium. RNAcentral's name for it is "partial 16S ribosomal RNA". It matches the Rfam family "Bacterial small subunit ribosomal RNA", at positions 28 to 507 of the family's 1533-position model. The record is from RNAcentral.